Molecule: ribosomal RNA, 292 nt
Filed under: uncultured prokaryote
Description: partial 16S ribosomal RNA
Rfam family: Archaeal small subunit ribosomal RNA
Source: RNAcentral
CACCGGCAGCUCUAGUGGUAACAAUUUUUAUUGGGCCCUAAAGCGUCCGUAGCCGGUUUAAUAAGUCUCUGGUGAAAUCCUGUAGCUUAACUGUGGGAAUUGCUGGAGAUACUAUUAGACUUGAGACCGGGAGAGGUUAGAGGUACUCCCAGGGUAGAGGUGAAAUUCUGUAAUCCUGGGAGGACCGCCUGUUGCGAAGGCGUCUAACUGGAACGGUUCUGACGGUGAGGGAGAAAGUUAGGGGCGCGAACCGGAUUAGAUACCCUGGUAGUCCCUGAGCGGGCUGGCAAGG